This is a long non-coding RNA of Hypanus sabinus (Atlantic stingray), 5698 nucleotides long. RefSeq lists it as uncharacterized. NCBI's taxonomy places the organism in Eukaryota, Metazoa, Chordata, Chondrichthyes, Myliobatiformes, Dasyatidae. The transcript has 3 exons. The record is from RefSeq and is a predicted model, not a curated record.
UUCCAGGAUCUCAUCUGAGGUGAAAAACAAACAUAAAAGAUAUAAAAGAAGUGAAAUAUAUAAUUUCAUGGUCUAUUCAGAACAUGUCGACAGAAGGAGCAUUGCAUGCAGGCACCAUCUAGUGUGAGUAUAUUGUUUGAUUAUGCAUUCUUCAUUUGCUUACAUAAUUCAUUAUAGGUUAUAUGUCAGAAGUAUGUGAAUAGCACAUGACAUUAAGACACCACAUCCAUGUGCGAACUUCACUGAAGUAAAAUUAAGUAAACAUGAGUAUCUCUGGUUCCUGUGCUUUUCUUUCUUUUAGUUUCUGGAGUUAUAAGACAUAACAGUGGUUGUGCUGUCUUUACGACAGUUAUUUAGUUUAUAAUAUUUUCGCUUAGUAAUUCAUUCAAUAGUAUUUUCUAGUUAGAAUUAGAAGUGUUUAAAGUGUAUUCAUUGCAUGUAAAAUAUAUCGGCAUGCGAUGACGUCACAUCCGGUUUCGCCGCGUCUUGUGGGAAAACACCGGUUUGAAAUUAGCGCGAGGGUGGGGGCUUUCCACGAGGCUCACCUGAGCACAAGCAGUUUUGCAGGCAUGAGAAAUCACAGUGAGAGCAACGCUUUUUCACCAUAUGUUAAUGUGAAGAGUGAACAGUAAAUGGUUAAUCUUACUGCGAUCUGGUUCUUAUUAACUGUGGUUUAUCCGGACGUUAAAUUCGGCGUUUCGUUACACCCGAAGGAGAACGUUACAGUGGUAAUGAGGAAGUUUUAAAAUGAGCCCGAGAUAACUACCUACCUGUUGAAGUGCAGCACGUUUUUUUUCUUCGGAAAGGCAGAGAGAUGUUAAAAUUUUUUGAAAAGCACAGUAUGUGUUUCUUCAGAAUGGUAGAGGCACCUUUGAGUUUCAAGAAAAGGCAGAAAAUGGACGAAAUUCACAGGAUCAUUAACAAUACUAUCUGACCUGCUGAUGCUUCCAGCAAAAUGAAGAGGGUGUGGUCUUACUGGUUUAGGCAGUGCCCAAUUCUCAAAAUUCUGUCUUAUUCUAUUGAUCUAAAGCAUCAUGGACUCCAGCUGUAUGGUCUGAACAGUGACAGGCUCUCUGCAUAGUGUAAGAGGAAAGUUCUUCCUCAAAGAUUGACCAGAAGAGUUGACAGCCCCUCUCCCAGCUUUUCCAAAGUGAUUUCCUCAUGAUCUCUCUGACAUUCAUUUGCAAGAUAUUUUAAAUGCCUUUGAAGAAAAAUUGUAAGUUACUUAAAACAAAAGCUCAAGUAAAAAGAAGUGUACCAAAAUAUUAAAUCUAAGUGAAAUAAUUUUAAUAAAAGUUUACUAACCCUCCUUUGGCCUUGUAAUCUACAAUCCUCCAAUCCAUAUUGAAGUUAAUGAGGUCUUUGAUUCUGCAGAAUUGUGCAGGAAAGAAGAAGCUUCCUCUCAUGUAAUUUAGGAAAUCUCAUCAAUAUUAGGGUCUGGGCACCACAGUGACAGACUCGGUGAUCAGAAUCUGUCAGCAAAUCUAGGGUCCUCAUGUUUGACAGUGCACAUAUGGAGUCCCAGACACACUCCAGUUUAAACAGCUAAGGACAAGCAGUUCCCUUGACAACAUCUGGUUUUAGAUAACAAGUUCCAGCCCAGAGACUCAUAACAGCUGGGCUUUGCUCCAUCUCCGAUGUAGCAACAAGGGCAGUGGCUUUCAAGUACAAUUGUACAACAUGUGUGCUCGCCCUGCUCCUUGGAACUCCCAUAACAUUUCUUUAGAACCAAACAAAUAGUUUCUCAUCAAGAGAAUGCAUUAUGUCACUGACAAGUAGAAUGCUCUGUGGUCCUUUGAAAAAGCUCCAAUCUUAUCACAAGUUUUAAAAAGUAUUGCAGAAGCUGACAUCAUCUGCUGUCUGAGCAAUGCUCAGUUUCCUACUACUGGAAGAGAUUAAGUGGUACAUAAAAAUGUAUAAACUGCAGAUACUGAUAUUUGAACUAUCUGGGCUCAUGCUAAGGAUAUUCCAUGAAUGUUUCCACUGACAAAAUACAUUUACUGUCACACUGCACAUUAAUCAAGUUUACAAAUACUUCAUACACUGAAGAGGAUGAUUAGAUUGGAUUAGUUUUAUUUGUCAUAUAUACAUCAAAACAUACAGUGAAAUGCGUUGUUUUCAUCAAAACAAAUCAAGGAAGGAUUGUGCUGGGCAGCUAAGUGUCACCACACUUCCAGCACCAACAUAGCAUACACACAACUCACUAACGCUAAAGCUAACGGUACUUCUUUGAAAUGUGGGAAGCAACUGGAGCACCCAGAGGAAAGCCGACAGUCACAGGGAGAGGCAGCACCUCUUUAUGGACCAACGACAGGAAUCGAACUCUGAUCUUACAGCUGGAGCUAUAAGCUGUUGCGCUACCAUGCUGCUCCAAAGAUAAAAUGUUUGAGAAGAUUAAUAUCUAUAAAGUAGCAAUUAAUCCCAAGUUACAACAGUUUCAAUGAUGUGAACAUAAUUCUUUCAUCAUCAUGAUCAAUCUCCUCUCAGCUUCCAAUCACUUUUGCCUAUUUUUAAAAAUGCACCAUAUUCACUUCUGAUUUCCCUAAUCCUGCCAGGGUGAACUGUGCACCGACAGUUCCGAAGGUGAUAGUUUUUCUCAUGUGAGAAUCUGGAGAGCAAUUAUCGACGGUAAUGAGGGCAUUGUUUCCCAGCACAACUUAAACACAUGAGAUUCCGCAGAUACUGCAAAUCCCAAGUGUGAGCGUGGCGGGCUUCCGUCAGUCAUGGUCAACCAUGGGUACUGCGCCUCUGGUCCAAGCUGAAGUGACCUCUCCAGGGUGCAAGCCAGGGCAGAGUUGAUGUGGAGAUCCGUCUGUUGCCCAUGCAGUGGGACCCCCCUUCCCAUGCUGAUGACAGGUCCAAAGGAACGACGAAUGUCGAUACAGUUUGGUGUCAGCAGCAUCGCAGGAGUUGCCGUGUCGGUGCUGGGUACAACAGUCAGCCGCCUUCGGGUCUCCGACUCUGGAUUUUUCCCAGGGGUUUACUCCCAAAGCCUUUCCCGUGAGCGGGUAUAGCCGCAAGGCAGCGGAGGUUUGAAAUCAGAGUUUACCAUCCGUGAUUAACGAGCCCCAUCUGCCCGGAGCAACUGGUUUUAAGGCACCGGUGGUCUUUGCCCCUUCUCCUGUCAGUGAGAACAGCUCUGCUGGGCAUAAGAAUUACGCCACACAUGAAGGCCAGGAUCACGCCAUGAAGAGCAUUUGUUUAGCAGUGGGAGCUCAUCUCCACUACCACCCUUCAGUUAUGUCUGCCUUUCGAGCCGGAGUAUCCGUCCAGAGUAACACACACAAAAUGCUGGAGGAACUCAACAGGUCGGGCAGCAUCAUGGAAAGGAAUAAACAGUCGAUGUCUCUGGGCUGAGACCCUUCAUCAGGACAGGAAAGGAAGGAAGAAGAAUCUAGAAUAAAAAGGGUGGGGAAGGGAAGGAGCACAAGCUAGAAUGUGAUAGGUGAAGGUAUGUGGGGGAAGGAGGAUGAAGUGAAAAGCUGGGAGGUGUAGGAGGAAAACUUUAAGUACUGAAGAAGAAGGAAUCUGAUAAGAGGAGAGAGUGGACCAUGGGAGAACAUAGAGGAGGAGGGGGUCUGAGACAGGGCCCGCCGGUAUCUCCACACCGAGGAGAGGGUGGCAUGUAAAAUUGGGAGGGAGAAGCAACUAAUUGAAUGCAAGUACCUGGGAUCCUCAGUGGGUCCGAACUGGGAGGCCCGAAAAUGGAUCUGAGCCAUGUGGGCCAAGAUGACGGCAAAUCAAGUUCCCAGGAAGGACAUGGCUGUGGUAGUGAGUCUGGGUGAGCACACGUUCUUGUUUUUACCUAGAUACAUAUCUAUACUCAAACACGAUAGUCCCUGUAGGUGAUAUUGAGAAUGGCUUCUUCAAUAAUUCAGUUCCGUGGCUAAAGUGGAAAUAUAAAUGAACAUUGCUUUUGUUCCCCUCAGCACUGAGGCUGCUCCAGCUGCUCCCGGCCUUGUGUAUGCAAGCUUCACGGCAAUUUGCCCCACUGUGUAACGUGCUGAGGCUGAGGGUAAGGGCCUGUUCUGCUGCUCCAGUCUUCGUGUCUACAGUCUCAUUUUUGUUCUGAAUGCUGUUGCUUGCUUCUAUUGUUUGUAUGAUCUCUCUCUCUCUCUCUCUUCCCCCCCCCUCCCUCUCCCUCUCCCCCUCCCCCUCUCCCUCCCCCUCUCCCUCUCCCUCUCCCUCCUCAUUGGGUGUUGGUCUUUUUUAAAAUUUGGGUACUUUCAGGUUUCUUGCUUUGUGGCUGCCUGUAAGCAGACAAAUCUCAAGGCUGUGUAUUUUAUACAUCCUUUGAUAAUAAAUGUACUUUGAACUUUACUCUACAGGGAAAAUGGAACUGAUUUUUAGAGGUAACCACACAUUCAGUCCUUUUGGAAAAAAGGGAAUUGGAGAAGAUGCAAAGAUAAGUAACUCAAGGGUGGGCAUUUGAAGAGGGGCAGUAUCUCUAAAGAGAGAGGCACUUAAUAAUGCUUGCUGCAUGGAGACAAGGACAGGCUGCUUGUGGGUUGGGAUAAAAGAACACGAUAUGGGUCUCAUGGAUGAGAUGAAGUUGGAGAAGGACAUGAGCGGUAGGAGUUCAAGGGAACGGUGGAGGAAACCUGGAGGGAGGGUGAAAUGAAAGUCGUUGUGUCAGGGGUGCAGCAGAGGCCGAUGAGCGGAUGAUUUCAAUUUGGUGAUAAAGAAGUCUCAGAAUCUGUUUUGCAUUCUCCAGUCAACGGCAGAUGUGAAUUCAUAUUCAGUUACUGGUUAAGUGAACGCUGAACUGACUUUUUUCCUCAUAGGAGUGGGUGGGGGAGGUGAUAUUCAGCCUAAUGAAUUCCCCACCAGACAAACCCCCACAGAUAGUCCAAAUGCUUAUUCCCAGUGUAAAUAAAUCUUUUUGCUUGACAGUAUCCAGAUUGUUUAAAAACCAGUCUUACAAGCUGUUUCUGAUAGAUGGAAAUAGUUGACAGCUAUAUGAAUUAGCAAACAACUUAUCUCACAAGGGAGCCAAAGGGAGCAGUUUCUUGGAACUAUAUACUCUUUCAAUAACCGUAUUCAUUUUGAGCCAGAUUAGAUCUUGGCACGUUGAAAUAUAUAAAUAACUGAUAAUUUUGUCAUUUUCUAUUGCCUAAUUAACUUUCUAUUUCAUUGCCUACUUUAUCAAGUAUUGUACAGCGUUACAAUAGCUCAAACCAUUAUGUACAUUUCCCAACACAACGUACAUAUCUCAGCUCCACAUAUGCACUGUCAUUUCAAGCGAUCCUGCUUAAAUUGCUAUGAUGGAAAGAGGGAAGUGCUUUAUAUUAACGAAUCUUUCUUUCAUAGUUUCAUGUGUACUUUUGCAGCACACAAUGGUACCAGUUUGUCAGAAAUCGUUAAGGCUGAAUUCACUCACUGAAACUUCAACAUUACCACAAAAUCUUCGAACAGCAAGUGAUUUACAGUGGCCUCACAGCAACCACCUCCACAAGUUAAGUGAAUGGCCAGCAAGGAACAUUCACUCAGCACAGAUGAUGUUUAACUUCUGAUUUCAAGAAGCUAUUGAACAACAUGCUUCUUUCCCAGAGCAGAAAAUGUGCACUGUUAAUGGAAAUGUUGAUGGAAAAAGUAAAAGCGUUUUUAAAUACAUGUAGUAAUUAUUGUUGUUUAUGUUACAACACGCUUAUUGUAUGGAACUUAAUGGCCCAAAAUUUCUAAUAAAGAUUUAGCUGUU